RNAcentral lists this ribosomal RNA (442 nucleotides) under uncultured bacterium. RNAcentral describes it as "partial 16S ribosomal RNA". It matches the Rfam family "Bacterial small subunit ribosomal RNA", at positions 338 to 795 of the family's 1533-position model. The record is from RNAcentral.
CCUACGGGGGGCAGCAGUAGGGAAUCUUUCACAAUGGGCGAAAGCCUGAUGGAGCAACGCCGCGUGCAGGAUGAAGGCCUUCGGGUUGUAAACUGCUUUUAUAAGCGAGAAAUAUGAUGGUAACUUAUGAAUAAGGAUCGGCUAACUCCGUGCCAGCAGCCGCGGUCAUACGUAGGAUCCGCGCAUUAUCCGGAGUGAUGGGGGGUAAAGAGUUGCGUAGGUGGCAUAAUAAGUAGCUAGUGAAAUCUGGUGGCGCAACCAUUCAGACUAUUAGCUAAACUGUUAAGCUCGAGAACGUUAGGGGUAACUGGAAUUUCUAGUGUAGGAGUGAAAUCCGUAGAUAUUAGAAGGAACACCAAUAGCGUAGGCAGGUUACUGGGACGGUUCUGACACUAAGGCACGAAAGCGUAGGGAGCAAACGGGAUUAGAUACCCGGGUAGUC